GCGUGGUAGGAGAGCGUUCUGUAAGCCUGUGAAGGUGUCUUGUAAAGGAUGCUGGAGGUAUCAGAAGUGCGAAUGCUGACAUGAGUAGCGAUAAAGGGGGUGAAAGGCCCCCUCGCCGUAAGCCCAAGGUUUCCUACGCAACGUUCAUCGGCGUAGGGUGAGUCGGCCCCUAAGGCGAGGCAGAGAUGCGUAGCUGAUGGGAAGCAGGUUAAUAUUCCUGCACCGUCGUAUGAUGCGAUGGGGGGACGGAUCGCGGAAGGUUGUCCGGGUGUUGGAAGUCCCGGUCCCUGUAGUGGAGAAGGCGCUUAGGCAAAUCCGGGCGCGGAAUUCAAGGCUAUGGGGCGAGCGGCCUAGUGCUGCGAAGCAAUUGGAAGUGGUUCCAAGAAAAGCCUCUAAGCUUCAGUCAUACGAGACCGUACCGCAAACCGACACAGGUGGGCGAGAUGAGUAUUCUAAGGCGCUUGAGAGAACUCGGGAGAAGGAACUCGGCAAAUUGGUACCGUAACUUCGGGAUAAGGUACGCCCUGGUAGCUUGACUGGCCUGCGCCAGAAGGGUGAAGGGGUUGCAAUAAAAUGGUGGCUGCGACUGUUUAAUAAAAACACAGCACUCUGCAAACACGAAAGUGGACGUAUAGGGUGUGACGCCUGCCCGGUGCCGGAAGAUUAAAUGAUGGGGUGCAAGCUCUUGAUUGAAGUCCCGGUAAACGGCGGCCGUAACUAUAACGGUCCUAAGGUAGCGAAAUUCCUUGUCGGGUAAGUUCCGACCUGCACGAAUGGCGUAACGAUGGCCACACUGUCUCCUCCCGAGACUCAGCGAAGUUGAAGUGUUUGUGAUGAUGCAAUCUCCCCGCGGCUAGACGGAAAGACCCCAUGAACCUUUACUGUAGCUUUGCAUUGGACUUUGAACCGAUCUGUGUAGGAUAGGUGGGAGGCUUUGAAGCGUGGACGCUAGUUCACGUGGAGCCGUCCUUGAAAUACCACCCUGGUUUGUUUGAGGUUCUAACCUUGGCCCGUGAAUCCGGGUCGGGGACAGUGCAUGGUAGGCAGUUUGACUGGGGCGGUCUCCUCCCAAAGUGUAACGGAGGAGUUCGAAGGUACGCUUGGUACGGUCGGACAUCGUACCUAAAGUGCAAUGGCAAAAGCGUGCUUAACUGCGAGACCGACAAGUCGAGCAGGUGCGAAAGCAGGACAUAGUGAUCCGGUGGUUCUGAAUGGAAGGGCCAUCGCUCAACGGAUAAAAGGUACUCUGGGGAUAACAGGCUGAUACCGCCCAAGAGUUCAUAUCGACGGCGGUGUUUGGCACCUCGAUGUCGGCUCAUCUCAUCCUGGGGCUGUAGCCGGUCCCAAGGGUAUGGCUGUUCGCCAUUUAAAGAGGUACGUGAGCUGGGUUUAAAACGUCGUGAGACAGUUUGGUCCCUAUCUGCCGUGGGCGUUGGAAUCUUGACGGGGGCUGCUCCUAGUACGAGAGGACCGGAGUGGACGUACCGCUGGUGUACCUGUUGUCUCGCCAGAGGCAUCGCAGGGUAGCUAUGUACGGAAGAGAUAACCGCUGAAAGCAUCUAAGCGGGAAACUCGCCUGAAGAUGAGGAUUCCCUGGAGGCUUGACCUCCUUGAAGGGUCGUUCGAGACCAGGACGUUGAUAGGCUGGGUGUGGAAGCGCAGUAAUGCGUUAAGCUAACCAGUACUAAUUGCCCGUAAGGCUUGAUCCU
This 1709-nucleotide ribosomal RNA is filed under the name Cupriavidus taiwanensis. RNAcentral describes it as "bacterial LSU rRNA". It matches the Rfam family "Bacterial large subunit ribosomal RNA", at positions 1223 to 2925 of the family's 2925-position model. Lineage: Bacteria; Pseudomonadati; Pseudomonadota; Betaproteobacteria; Burkholderiales; Burkholderiaceae. The record is from RNAcentral.